GUAAGGUCAUCACGUAAUUAUAUAGACACAGGUGAGAUUUCAUGUCAGGUAAUCACCUAAUUGUAUAGACACAGGUGAGAUUUCAGUUUCCUCGUGGCAUUGCACUGAUGUGACCGGGUGUGUGGGUCGUUUUCCUCACUCCUCUGGAAAGAUUAGUCGUGUGUGUCCAGGCAUUGUUAGCGAGUAUGUAAGUGUCAUGCGCAUGAAAGAAGUCGCCAGCUGCUGCUUUGUUGUGGCUUAUAUACCGGUUCCAGUUUUGGGACGCCGGAUUGUUGCUUGCGCACUGUUGCUUUGAACGCCUUAAGUUCGCUAUUUUCUGUACAUCGCUUGCUUUGGAGACGCAAGACCGUUGCCUCUUGUUCCGCUGCCACCUGGUGGUCGGCUGCCAGUAUAUUGAUUUGUGGUGUUCCGACUGUUGCUCGUGUGUGUGUGAGAGAGUGCGCGCGCGCGCGCGCGCCUUUGAGUUGGAUUUAAGUUUU
Molecule: long non-coding RNA, 479 nt
Organism: Sinocyclocheilus grahami
Lineage: Eukaryota; Metazoa; Chordata; Actinopteri; Cypriniformes; Cyprinidae
Exons: 3
Source: RefSeq, a predicted model, not a curated record